This is a long non-coding RNA of Trifolium pratense (red clover), 2475 nucleotides long. RefSeq lists it as uncharacterized. The transcript has 6 exons. The record is from RefSeq and is a predicted model, not a curated record. NCBI's taxonomy places the organism in Eukaryota, Viridiplantae, Streptophyta, Magnoliopsida, Fabales, Fabaceae.
AAAGGAAAAUUGACAAAGGUUGAAAUUGUGGCAAAGCAACGCGGGCGAUAUUUUCAAUCUCCAAAAUUUUCACUCGCGCCCAUACUUCAUCUCUUCCCUCUUCUGUCUUUUAUUUUCCAAAUCAAUCCUAAACUCAAAUCAGUAGUUUGCAGUUGCACAAAUCAUCAAUUUCUUCAACACUAUCAUUUUCCCUUUUGUUCGAAUCAUGAACUCGAAUCUGGUUGUACCCAAAAAACCCUAAAAUCAUGAAGAAAUCCAUUAAUCCUAAUCCCUAAUCGUUUUAUUUCGUCCUUGUUUCCGACCCUAAUCAUUCUUCUCUUUAUGGAUUGUUUCCAAUUCCGCUUGCUAGGUUCUCUUUCUACGCAUACUGGUCCGUCUCAAAAGGUUUUAUAAUCUUUUUUCCAUCAGAUUUAGAGGGACACCAAGGAGUCUUCUUCAUCCACCCGCGAGUCUCUAUGAUAUCCAAAUCAAGCUUUUAUCUUCUGAUUCCUCUUUUUCAUUUUAGGCACUCAUUUUUAUUUCUACACCCUUUUUUAUACAUUUGAGUUGUAUAGCAUCAUUAGUUCCAUUUGCUUUCAAUAUGUUUAGUAUAGUUAUUAUUUGAGACAACAAAGAGAAAUAAAAAAAAAAUCAAAAUAAUAUAAACUAAACAUCUUUGUGUGUAUAUUAGUGUGCAUUUUUUAAAGGGUAAUUAAGUAUGGGCCAUCAUGUGCUUCACCUUUAGUAAAAUCAGCUUUAUAGUUUUGUUAAAUAGACUCAUAUUUUGCGAUUUUGAUUUUAGUUAGGUUUUGAUUUUUUUUCUUUCAUUUUUAACUAUGUGUGUAGUUUUUUUUAUACUUUGGGUGAUCUUGGGACCAAGUGUACUGUUUUGGAAGACAAAAUUUAGUGGAGGAUGUAUUUUGUUGCCUAAAUGUUGAUGUCUGAUCCGUGUUUUUCCUGCAUUUUCUCUAUCGUUUCUGGAUCAUUGUUGUUUUGUUUCUGGUGCAGGGCAGUUUCAGUUUUGGUGUUAUGACAGGGUUCUCAUGUAUUGGUUUUUGUUGUUACGCGUUGGGGAUUGUUGUUUGUUUUUCUUCUGUUCUGAUUUUGCGGUUAUCCGUUGGAUUUUAGGCUCUAUUAGUGCUGGUUUAGGGUGGUUACUACUGUAGUUUUGUUUAGCAGGUGGUGUUGUCUUGUUGAGCCUUUUUAGGCUUUUCUAAUUGACUCAAAAGUUACCAAGCCACAAUCAAUAUGAAACAAUGAACUAUGUAUACUAUAUAUUAGAUAUACCCCUUAUUUCAAAGAUAACUUAUUUUCUUGUAGUGUCAAUUUUAAGUUCUCAUUUUCUUUAUUUUAAUGACAUCAAUAGUUAUAUUUUAACUUUUUUUUUGGUCAAGAGUUAUAUUUUAACUUUAAAUAUAGAACACUUGAUACUCACUAUGCCUAAGAUGAAAUAACUUAGUUACUUUCACAUGUUCAGCUUCUCAUUAGAACACAUACUAGCAUUGUUCUAGUACUCAAGAAGAGUUGAAGCACUUGAUUUGCUCAUUACUUGUUUGAUGGGAUGCUCUUUAGUUACUAAUUGAUUACCACAAAAAUGAAAGUUGUAAUUGUUAUGGAUGAAAAAUACUUUAUAAAAUUGACACUAUUUUAUGAUUCUAGACUUUUGUUGAAGUUAGGAGGCUCAUGUUGGAUACUUGUUGAACUGAAUUUUUUUUUCUGGUGGUGUCAAUUAUAGUUAGAAAUUUAGCCUGGUGCAGUGUAUUUAUAUUGUAACAUUGUAUUCCUGCAUACUGUUGUCAUUGUUGUGGAUGAGAAGUACUUUAUUAAAUCCGUCAGAGAAAAUCGAAUCAUUGGCCCUGUAUCAAUGGAAUCUCAUUACUUUAUGAUGUUAGGUUUUUGUCAAGGUUAGGAUGCUCAUGUUGGAUAGAACUCCUUGUUCAAGUCAUUCAAAGCUUUAAAGCUCUAUCAACGUCAAUAUGUUCGAGCUGUAAAACAAGGUAGUCACAUCAAGUGAGAAGUUUGAUAGGCUGGCUUCUGGGAAAAUACAUGUGCUGCUUCAAAUGAUAUAAAGAUUUUUGCUACGAGUGCUUUUCCUUGUCCAUAUCUACACAAUCCUUCGGAUAUCUAUUUCAGGAUCAUAAACAGGUUAAACCGAAAGUGAUGUAAAAGAUACAUAAAGGAACUAUAGAGCUUAUAAAGACACUUCACAGAGAUCAAUCUAGAGAUGACAUAGACUAUGUAAGUCAUGAGCUAGAAACUCUAUAUGUUGGAUUAAGCUUCUACUAGCUAGGUUCAAGACCAAACAAAUUAUCCAAGUCCACACAUUGAUGAAGAUGGAAGAGAUGAAGAUUAGAAGCUAAUUAUAUUUCGACGAAUUAGCUUAGUUACUUUUCGUUAUGUACUUUUGAUAUUAUGUAGUGCCACAGUGGUGCAUUUGAUACUUUGUAAGAACGACAAAUUUUUAUGUUAAUGUUACAAAUUUGGUGUUGAUCAAAA